This 812-nucleotide ribosomal RNA is filed under the name uncultured Chlamydiae bacterium. Its description in RNAcentral is "bacterial SSU rRNA". It matches the Rfam family "Bacterial small subunit ribosomal RNA", at positions 1 to 799 of the family's 1533-position model. The record is from RNAcentral. Lineage: Bacteria; Pseudomonadati; Chlamydiota; Chlamydiia.
AGGGAGUUUGAUCCUGGCUCAGAACGAACGCUGGUAGCGUGGAUUAGGCAUGCAAGUCGAACGGGAUCCAUGAAGUAGCAAUACGGAUUGGUGAGAGUGGCGGAAGGGCGAGGAACACGUGGGCAACCUGUCUUUGAGGUGGGGAAAACCUCGGGAAACUGAGGCUAAUACCGAAUGUGGCGCGGAAGGGCAUCCUUCCUGCGCUAAAGGGGGCGAAAGCUCCCCCUCUUCGAGGGGCUCGCGCACCAUCAGCUAGUUGGCGGGGUAACGGCCCACCAAGGCUCACGGUUAGCUGGUCUGAGAGGAUGGCCAGCCGCACUGGGACUGAGAUACUGCCCAGACUCCUACGGGAGGCUGCAGUCGAGGAUCAUUCGCAAUGGGCGAAAGCCUGACGAUGCGACGCUGCGUGGAGGAUGAAGGCCUUCGGGUUGUAAACUCCUGUCAUGAGGGAAAAGGAGAGGAUACCCAAUACGUAUCCGAUUUGAUGGUACCUCAAGAGGAAGGGACGGCUAACUCUGUGCCAGCAGCCGCGGUAAUACAGAGGUCCCGAGCGUUGUUCGGAUUUACUGGGCGUAAAGGGCGCGUAGGCGGCGCUGCGUGUCGGAUGUGAAAGCUCCGGGCUCAACCCGGAAAGUGCGUCCGAAACUGCAGCGCUGGAGUCCGGGAGAGGUGGCCGGAAUGCAGGGUGUAGCGGUGAAAUGCGUUGAUAUCCUGCAGAACACCGGAGGCGAAGGCGGGCCACUGGAACGGUACUGACGCUGAGGCGCGAAAGUCGGGGGAGCAAACAGGAUUAGAUACCCUGGUAGUCCCCU